This is a non-coding RNA of Ictidomys tridecemlineatus (thirteen-lined ground squirrel), 72 nucleotides long. NCBI's taxonomy places the organism in Eukaryota, Metazoa, Chordata, Mammalia, Rodentia, Sciuridae. The record is from Rfam.
GGGGGUAUAGUUUAGUGGUACAGCACUUGCCUAGCAUGUGCAAGGCCUUGGGUUCAAUCCCCAGUACCUCAG